AGUGCUCCUGCUGACCUUCCGUGUCUGCAGCCCGGCUUUGGACUGUGGAGAUGCCCUCAGCCUCUACUCAGUGGCUCCAGCCUCAUAUUUGCGUGCUAUACCUUUAACCUCAAGUCCUCUUGCUGCUAACUUAAGCUGCGACUGUCCAGGACCUGCACACACACACACAUGCACGCAUGCACACACACACACACAGAAGGUGAACACACAGGAUGAGGCCCUGAAAACUCAUUUCACCCGUGUACCUCACCCAAAAAUUCCCCUUUGUACUCCUAUCUUUAUCUCUAACUGACAGCAUGAAGCCCUGACUGCCGAAACCCUCCAGCCCCAGCUCCAGCCCCUCAGGAGGGGACUGCGUGGGAGGAAUGACUCCAGCAAGCCGGCAGCUGACCCGUCUCCUGCCUGCACGCCUCCCGCUGUGGUCCACUGCCGGUGGUCUUCAGCUCUCUCCUCGUCCCACCCCCAUGGUCUGCUGACAGCCCAGCUCAGUGCAUCCCUGCCAUCUCUGCUCUACCGCUGGUCCUCCCAACAACCAACUUACAGGGUUUCACUCCCGUCACCCAGACUGGAGUACAAUGGUGCGAUCUCAGCUCACUGCAACCUCUGCCUCCUGGGCUUAAGCGAUUCUCCUGCCUUGGCCUCCCAAGUAGCUGGGAUUACAGGUGCCUGCCACCACUCCUGGCUAAUUUUUGUAUUUUUUGUAAAGGCGGAGUUUCUCCAUGUUGCCCAGGCUAGUCUCAAACUCCUGAGCUCAAGCAAUCCACCCGCCUCGGCCUCCCAAAUAAGUGGAAUUAUAGGUGUGAGCCACCACGCCGGCCCUGAUGUAUCAAUAUUAAAACAUUUUCUUCAGCCUA
Molecule: long non-coding RNA, 854 nt
Filed under: Homo sapiens (human)
Lineage: Eukaryota; Metazoa; Chordata; Mammalia; Primates; Hominidae
Description: uncharacterized LOC105376020, transcript variant 8 (LOC105376020)
Source: RNAcentral